RNAcentral lists this ribosomal RNA (116 nucleotides) under Cheilodactylus zonatus (blackbarred morwong). Its description in RNAcentral is "partial 16S rRNA". Lineage: Eukaryota; Metazoa; Chordata; Actinopteri; Centrarchiformes; Cheilodactylidae. The record is from RNAcentral.
UGCCCAACAGCUAGCCCCACCCCUAAAAAACAACAGACCAUUAUUUAUAACCCCACAUGCACAAAUGUUUUCACAAAACAAAUCAUUUUUCCCCCUUAGUAUGGGCGACAGAAAAG